AUUGAACGCUGGCGGCAUGCUUUACACAUGCAAGUCGGGCGGCAGCGCGGGGGCAACCCUGGCGGCGAGCGGCGAACGGGUGAGUAACGCAUCGGAACGUAUCCUGUAGUGGGGAAUAACUCAUCGAAAGGUGAGCUAAUACCGCAUAAGCUCUGAGGAGGAAAGCGGGGGACCGAAAGGCCUCGCGCUGCAGGAGCGGCCGAUGUCCGAUUAGCUAGUUGGUGAGGUAAAGGCUCACCAAGGCGACGAUCGGUAGCUGGUCUGAGAGGAUGAUCAGCCACACUGGGACUGAGACACGGCCCAGACUCCUACGGGAGGCAGCAGUGGGGAAUAUUGGACAAUGGGCGAAAGCCUGAUCCAGCAAUGCCGCGUGAGUGAUGAAGGCCUUAGGGUUGUAAAGCUCUUUUACCCGGGAUGAUAAUGACAGUACCGGGAGAAUAAGCCCCGGCUAACUCCGUGCCAGCAGCCGCGGUAA
Molecule: ribosomal RNA, 475 nt
Filed under: uncultured bacterium
Lineage: Bacteria
Description: bacterial SSU rRNA
Rfam family: Bacterial small subunit ribosomal RNA
Source: RNAcentral